Molecule: transfer RNA, 74 nt
Filed under: Sarcopeltis skottsbergii
Lineage: Eukaryota; Rhodophyta; Florideophyceae; Gigartinales; Gigartinaceae
Description: tRNA-Gly
Rfam family: tRNA
About the family: Transfer RNA (tRNA) molecules are approximately 80 nucleotides in length. Their secondary structure includes four short double-helical elements and three loops (D, anti-codon, and T loops). Further hydrogen bonds mediate the characteristic L-shaped molecular structure. tRNAs have two regions of fundamental functional importance: the anti-codon, which is responsible for specific mRNA codon recognition, and the 3' end, to which the tRNAs corresponding amino acid is attached (by aminoacyl-tRNA synthetases). tRNAs cope with the degeneracy of the genetic code in two manners: having more than one tRNA (with a specific anti-codon) for a particular amino acid; and 'wobble' base-pairing, i.e. permitting non-standard base-pairing at the 3rd anti-codon position.
Source: RNAcentral
GUGGGUAUAGAAGAAUUGGUAAAUUCAUUAGUUUUCCAAACUGAAAUUUGUGGGUUCGAAUCCCAUUACCCGCU